CAAAAAUUAACAUAAAAUAAAUGUAUCUCACUUACGUUGAGAAGAUAAUUAUAUAAAUUAUUUUUGA
Molecule: transfer RNA, 67 nt
Filed under: Scaeurgus unicirrhus
Lineage: Eukaryota; Metazoa; Mollusca; Cephalopoda; Octopoda; Octopodidae
Description: tRNA-Val
Source: RNAcentral